Molecule: long non-coding RNA, 621 nt
Organism: Mangifera indica (mango)
Lineage: Eukaryota; Viridiplantae; Streptophyta; Magnoliopsida; Sapindales; Anacardiaceae
Exons: 4
Source: RefSeq, a predicted model, not a curated record
AGACAUCAACUAGGAAAAAAUUUCAUUGCGGAACAAGAAUUAAAAAAGAACUUGGUAAUACCUCUGAGUCUAUAUACUCAUGAAGAACCGCAAAUAGUUGAAAUCCCAAGGCAUCGAAUAGAGGUUUUCUUGCAUAGAGUUGCAACAUCAAAGCAUUUUUAUGUAUUCACUUUAAUAGGCUAAUCAAGUUAGAAGAAUAAUUGUGCCAAGAUGUCGGUACAAAAUGUUUACCCAGGACGUCGGAUGCAAAGGAGAACAGCUGGCUUUUCUCGCCAUAACUCUAGAGCCUUCAUUGGAGGUGUCUUGGUUUUCACCAAGCGUUCCAUGCCAAUCUUGUAUUCAGGGACACAGUUUGUGACGGAGGCGUGGGAUCUGUGCAUGCACUUGUUCUGUCCACAAAUCGUGCUAUAUGACCUCUCUUCAUACCAAAUUGGGAAGACAGAUCCCCUGAACUUAGGUUAAGCAGCUGGGGCAAAUGUUUUCCAGAGGCCUCUAACACAUCUCCAUAUUGCAUCAAGGCCCGAUCAUGCAGGUUUUAGUGAAGGGAAACAAAACAGUGAUUGUGUAAACAACCAACCUUUUGUUGUUGUGACAUAUUUAUUUCAUCCAUAUCUUCUGAGU